GGUAAAUCUAUUUGCAUGCAUGUAGCAAUUACCUCCAUGAGCUUCCCAAGAUCGAACUUGGGGGCCUUGAGUAUCUUCACCUUGCGGAUGAAGACGUUUUGAAGUGGGAAGAUGCUGGAGGUAGACUUCUCAAUCUCCUUACCAAUAACUUCUGGAAUGAACUUCGAAACAAGUUCUUUCAGGUCACAUGUAGAAGCCUGGUUGAUCAUAAUCUCAACCAUCUUACGGCGGAUCUGCGCACAAUACAUGGCAAGUAUAAAGAUAACAGGCAAAUAUAGCAGGUGACUGUUUGACGUUUUGAGAAAUUGCUACAGUUUUACGACUGCUGCAUAUGUGGAAAGAACAGAAACGUUACCUGACGGAUCUGGGAUGCCUGAGCAUAGCAGGUUCUCUUGACCUGGUUUGGGCGCCUCUUGGUGAAGCCGAUGCAGAACAAACGCAACAUGUAGUUGUCGGUUGUCUUGACAUCAACAUGGGCUUCGAUUAAUGUCUGCCACUUCUUCACUAGGGACCUCAAUUUAUCAGUGGUAAAAUUCAUACCCUAGUAAUAGAAAACAAAUUAGUGAUAAACAACACAACAAAGGGCAACAGCUGCUAGCAAAAGAAUGCCGAUCAUUACCCAAAAGUUUGUGAGCACAUUCCUGCCCUGCACAUCUUCAGCACGGAGCCUGAUUUUCCUGUAAGCUUGAUCCUCGUCGCCCUGAAGAUCAGCUAGGCAAACCUCAAAGACUCUGUGCUUCAGACCCUCAGAAGCAAUCUAAAACCAGAGAAAGUACGUCAAUCGAAAAAUCAGGACAGUAAGCAGUGCAUCUACGUUCUGAAUAACAUUGCAAACAAAGCGGCACCUAAUAAGACUAAUCAUAUCCAUGCCAUUAAAAGAUCAUGUGACCUUCAGUGAUAGAUCAUUGAUGAACAAGGACAAGUUGCCAUUCGGGUGCUCAAGUAAAUGGCGAUUCGUUAUUGUCCAUAUAAAAGCAAAAGGAUUGAAUAAUAAUAAUCGUUCCAACAGAAAGUGCAAAAAUGAUAGGUGCGGUUCUAGUUGCAUUGCACUGAAUGAUACCUCUUCAGGAACAGCUUAGAAUAAGCACGCAAGGCUGCGAUCUCAAAUACUGACAAACUAUCUAUCAAGCAAAUCCGAACAAACUUAAUUACCUGUUACCUCUCCUACGAAUUCUUGCAAUGAAACCUGAAUAGUCCCCACAAACAAACGCGCGAACGAGCGUAUCUAAUAUACCGCAUGACUAGCGCGGUCUACAUACACAUGCAUAUAUGCGCAAGUUCACAACACACAAUGUAGGGGCAGUACGAAAAAAUAUCGAUAGUCAAAAAAAAACAUACCCUGGUACCCUGUGUCCUGGAUACGAGAGUCUUCCCGAUGUUGCGCACACUGAACACCGACGGUGCCUUGAUGUCAUACCAAUCCUUCUUAGAGAAAGGGUCGACGCUGCAUAAAAGAAGUAUCGCAACCACACAACAGCAUCAGCAACGGAUAAAGAAAGAAAGCAAUCGACCCAAGCUAGAUCUGAAGAACUGGGAUAUAACAGGCAAGCAAACUAACGUCUUUUUCUUGCCACCCUUCUUUCCCUUGGAGAUCCUCUUGUUCUUCCCGACAGCCAUGGUCGCCGCCGCCGCCGCCGCCGCGCUGGUGCUUGGGGUCUCGGACGGUAGAGAGUUGUCGGCUGCUCUGCGGGAGAAAGCACUUCGGAGGCAGAGCGGACUACUAUAUACGAUUCGAGGGUUUCCAGGUUCGAUCAUGCGGUCAGCAGGCACGCAAGAGCGGAUGGACGCACACGAUGCGGUGUGGCCCAUAUGUGUGCUUCGAGGCAUGGUUGGCCCAUUUGAUUCGGCCCAUCUGCAGCGUAACGGACGGUGCAGAGAAAGUGAGUUCAGGAACACUACGGGCUGCGGUGGCAAUACGGAGUUCACUCGAAUUUGGAAUCGGCUUUCAAUAAUAACAAUUAUGCAAUGAGAUUAAAAAAGUGCAACAAUAAUAUAUAUAUGGUUAUGUGUUGUUAAUUAAUCCUAACGAUACUACAUCUCAGAUUGUUAUGUAUGUAAAAUGAGUUUUUAAGGGGUUCACAUGCAGAUCAAAUUAUGCAUAGUUCUUUCUUUGAUUAUAAAAGCACUAAAAUGGAGAGAAUGAGUAAAAAAACAUUAUUUUGCCAUGAUACUAAAAACAAAAAACCUGAGGUCCAAAAGAAACAUAAGACAAAUUCUCCCAAUCCUAGGACACGGAGGCAUGCUGGUUCCAGUCCAUCCCAAAGGAGCCCAUUCCAAAAUCCAAAAUCUGAGACUGGGUCGUGUCUUCCCAAGCAACUAAGCAACAAAAUGAUAGAGAGAAGCAUGUCAAUUAUGUUUGGAAGGACUAAAUUGCAUUGUCUAAACAACAAGCUAAACUCCACAUGCAGUCAUAUGGUCUUGAUAUUUAUCUCCAGGUAGCCACACCAUUUUUAUCUCGAGGUGGACAUGAAAGGUUGUUAAUCUGGAAUAAUAUAUUCUCUCUCUACUCUAGUUCACCUUUUACAACAUUGUGACAUUUCUAGGGGCACAUAACAUAAUUAUCUUCAUCCAAAACAUUCAUAUUCACAAAUCCAUAAGGAAAAAGGAGUUGAUGAUAUGAAUAACUCACAGUGUACAAAUGGCCCAUAAAUUGUUAUGUGCUCGCUUCUGCUAGCUUCAUCUACAGUGCAGUUAGUCACUGCUACAAUAAUUUGUUGCAUCAGUGGUUGGCUGCUGCCGUAGUCAGUGGUAAAUAUUAGGCUAGGCAGUAAAUGUCAUUAUAUAUUGAUACGAUACACUACAUCAUUACACCAGGCACUUGAAGAAAGAAUGGUAAGAGGCCCAUCCACAUCCGAAAUAUGAGCUCCAACAAUGAUAGUUUCAAAUUAGUGGCAUUACGAGUGUCACACAAUUGUUACUUGGUACUCAUCAUUACUCAUAUAUCAUUGUAGAGGAUUUGGCAUAGCAGAAAGUACCGAGUACCAAGAAUCCUAGAUUUAUUCAAAAAAAUCCAGGUACUUGUUCGAAGUGCCGAUAGACACAAGGAGACUACGACCAGCUCUUGUGAAGUUGAGCAGGACAUUUUUGCUAGACGACAAUGAAGACGAUGGCUCGAUCUUGAGGCCCAAUCGUCCUUCACUCGUCUCGAUAUAUGUGGAUAAGCACCUCCAUUGUUUCCUACAGUUAUAGAUAGAUUUUCUUUUAAUCCAUCCUUUUAGAUCUUUUCUGCCUUCUGUACAUCAAUUCAGACUUAUCAAACAAAGGUUUCAAACCACAAUGAGCAUUGAAACUGUUGUAGAUACAAAGCAAUAACACUUCAAAUGUGUACAGUUAAAGUAUUGGCUACAGAACAUCAUAUACAUUUCCUAUAAAAUAGAUAAACAAUGGAAGUAAUGGUUCAAUUUAAACUAAUUGACUACCACUAAGGGUAUACCAUGUCCCCUUUCCCCUAUUCUAUAGCAUGUGCUUUUAGUAGUCGCAUUCAAAAAGUAGAACCAAAAUUUUCUUAUUAAAAAGGGACGAGGGAUAUGUAUUCAAUGAGAUUAUUAGUCAUCUACCGAGGAUAUUAUAUUUUUGAAAAGCACUAUUGGUGAUCAUUAAUACUAUAUCCCAUAUCUUAGAACCAGCACUAUUUUACUGGAGAUAAAUUAUUAGGUUGAGCUCCUUUUGGAUACCAAGAUUGCAAUGGAUGAACUAAAUUGGACCUCAAAUCAAAUUCAUAGAGAAUUGCAUUGCCAUUCCAUUCUAUUUCUAUCAUUAUAGUUAUAUUGUAAAGUUGGCACAUGAACAAGAAUUUGGAAAAUAAAUGCGAUCAUUUUCAAAAAAAAUGUGAUAAAAUUAAAUUCAGGUUUUGAGGCUUUGUUACUACGAACGGAUAGAAUCCUCAAUCGUGAUUCCAGAACUCUGCCAGCUUCAUCAACGAGACAUGAACUAGCAUUGUCCACUAUCAUAGAUGUCCAUAUAUAAACUCCAUUGUUGGUCACUUGUUCUCAAGUACUGUGAAUAAAAAACAAGACAACACAAUUGUUAGAGAUUAGGGACAUUCGUCUAUCGAAACAUUAUCUCCUUUCGGAUACAAUGGUUCUCGGACAAAGGUUUUGAAGGACACACCUUCAUCAUUCACGAGAAUAGCAAUUCGUGCACAUAUGAUAAACAUUAUUCAUUCAUAUAUAAAUUCAAUUAUUCAUUUCAUGAUAAACAUAUGAACAAGAUUCAUGUUACAUUGAUAUCUCCGGCUUGCUCGAAGGUGUUGUCGCGAGAGAAUGAUUACAAUACAGCGUAAACAGUACGGUUGUACUGUUCACCUAUUUAUAAGCACGAUACACAACUGGGUAAAAAUACAUGUCGGCGUUUCGAGACCGGGGGGUCCCUGGGCCGACGAGUGAAUGUCGCCGCGUGCCCCAGCCCAGAUGGGUCGAGCGAGAAGGGGGGAGAGCGAGGCGGCCGGAGACCGGCGUGAGAGAGGUGGGAAUCUCGCGGCCUUCGUGUUCGUCCCGCGCCCAGGUCGGGUGCGCUUGCAGUAGGGAGUUACAAGCGUCCACGCGGGAGAGGGAGCGAGCGGCUUCAAGCGAGCGCCUAUCUCGUCCUCGUCCCCGCGCGGCCAACCCUCUCUAAGAGGGCCCUGGUCCUUCCUUUUAUAGGCGUAAGGAGAGGAUCCAGGUGUACAAUGGGGGGUGUAGCAGAGUGCUACGUGUCUAGCGGAGGAGAGCUAACGCCCUAAGUACAUGCCGUUGUGGCAGCCGGAGAGAUUUUGGCACCCAGCUAGUGUGAUGUCGUGGCCGUCGGAGGAGCGACGGAGCCUGACGGAGGGACAGCUGUCGGAGCGGUUGAGUCCUUGCUGACGUCCUCCUGCUUCCGUAAGGGGACUGAGAGCCGCCGUCGUCACAGAGUAUGCGGGGCGCCAUCAUUGCCUAUCUAGCGGAGCGAGCCAUAUGGGACGCCGGUCUUGUUCCCUGCGGCCCGAGUCAGCUCGGGGUAGGGUGAUGAUGGCGCCUCCUGUCGACGUGGCUGGUCUGCGCCCUAGGUUGGGCGAUGCGGAAGCUCCUCCGAAGUCGAGGUCGAGUCUGUCUUCCGUGGCCGAGGUCGAGUCCGAGCCCCUGGGUCGGGCGAGGCGGUGUUCGUCGUCUUCUAGGGCUGAGCCCAAGUCUGAGCCCUGGGUCGGGCGGAGCGGAGUUCGUCGUCUUCUGGGGCUGAGCCCAAGUCCGAGCCCUGGGUCGGGCGGAGCGAAGUUCGCCGUCUUCCGGGGCUGAGCCCGAGUCUGAGCCCUGGGUCGGGCGGAGCGGAGUUCGCCGUCUUCCGGGACUUAGCCCGUGUCCGAGCCCUGGGUCGGGCGGAGCGGAGUUCGCCGUCUUCUGGGGCUGAGCCCGAGUCCGAGCCCUGGGUCGGGCGGAGCGGAGUUCGCCGUCUUCCGGGACUUAGCCCGAGUCCGAGCCCUGGGUCGGGCGGAGCGGAGUUCGCCGUCUUCCGGGACUUAGCCCGAGUCCGAGCCCUGGGUCGGGCGGAGCGGAGUUCACCGUCUUUCGGGACUUAGCCCGAGUCCGAGCCCUGGGUCGGGCGGAGCGGAGCUUCCUAUGGUGCCUUCGGCAGGGCCUGACUGCCUGUCAGACUCACUCUGUCAAGUGGCACCGCAGUCGGAGUGGCGCAGGCGGCGCUGUCCUUCUGUCAGGCCGGUCAGUGGAGCGGCGAAGUGACGACGGUCACUUCGGCUCUGCCGGCUGGGGGGCGCGCGUCAGGAUAAAGGUGUCAGGUCACCUUUGCAUUAAAUGCUCCUGCGAUUUGGUCGGUCGGUGCGGCGAUUUAGUCAGGGUUGCUUCUUGGCGACGGCAGGGCCUCGGGCGAGUCGGAAAUAUGUUCGCCGCUGGAGGGGGGCCUCGGGCGAGACAGAAAUCCUCCGGGGUCGGCUGCCCUUGUCCGAGGCUAGGCUCGGGCGAGGCGUGAUCGAGUCCCUCGAAUGGACUGAUCCCUGACUUAAUCGCGCCCAUCAGGCCUUUGCAGCUUUAUGCUGAUGGGGGUUACCAGCUGAGAAUUAGGAGCCUUGAGGGUACCCCUAAUUAUGGUCCCCGACAGUAGCCCCCGAGCCUCGAAGGGAGUGUUAGCACUCGCUUGGAGGCUUUCGUCGCACUUUUUUGCAAGGGGACCAGCCUUUCUCGGUUGCGUUUUGUUCCGGUGGGUGCGCGCGAGCGCACCCGCCGGGUGUAGCCCCCGAGGCCUCGGAGGAGUGGUUUCACUCCUUCGAGGUCUUAAUGCCUUGCGUAAUGCUUCGGCUGGUCUGGUUGUUCCCUCAUGCGAGCUGGCCGUAGCCCGGGUGUACGGUCGGGUCCCAAGUUCUCGGGCUGGUAUGUUGACGCUGUCAACGGUUCGGCCGGAGCCGGGUUUGCGAGAGCAGCCCCGAGCCUCUGCACAGGGCGAGAGGGCGAUCAGGGACAGACUCGGCUUUUUUACAUACGCCCCUGCGUCGCCUUUCCGCAAGGAGGAGGGGGGGAAAGCGCCAUGUUGCCCUCGAUGGGCGCCGAACAUGGUGUCUCCGGUGAGCUGCAAGCGGGUAAUCCGAGUGGACGUCCGUGCCCCGUUUGUUAGGGGUCGGCUAGGGGCCCAGAGGCACGCCCAAAAGUACCUGCGGGUGAUCUGCCGGACCCGGUCCCCUGGCGACGGGGUCCGAGGGCUCGAUGCCUCCCUCUGAUGGGAUUCCGUUACAAGAUCGUUCCCGCUGGUCUCGGAAAUGUCCUAGGGUACCUCGGGAGCGCAGCCCGAGCCUUGGUUAUGUAUCGAACGUACCCAUGGUCAUCCCUCGCUCGGCGUCUGAGGCGGCUGUGAACCCUUCGGGGGCCAGCCUUCGAACCCCUGAUCAGUAAUGGGCGCGGAGCCCGAGUAGCCUGAGGCGGCCGUGGAACCCUUCCGAGGGGCCGGCCUUCGAACCUCUAACCAGUAGUGAGUGUAGGGCCCACGCGAUCUGAGGCGGCUGUUGAACCCUUCCGGGGGGCCAGCCUUCGAACCUCUGAUCAGUAGGGAGGCUCGGAGCCUGGUUCCUUCCCGGGGAAGGAUCCUUUUCGGGGUAUCCCCCUUUCCCGGUCCCUAUUGCAAGAGAGAGAAAGAGGAAAAAAGGAAAAGGAUACGAAAUCGAACGACACGGCGUACCUUUUUUGAUGCGGUUAUUAUGGCGAAGGCGAAGUGUCGCUUGCUUCUCCUGCCAGAGGCGCCGCCUGUCCUACCGCGGAGUUAAUGCGACGGGGCGAGUGGUUCACGGGGCGGCCGUUGCGCGUGCGCGAGCCGUUCGGGGAACGGCUGUUUCGCUUUGCGUUUUUGAAUCCCGCGUCCGGUCCGGGCGGAACGUUUGAACCGGUCUCGCCUUGGUCUUUAUAUAUUCGGGAGAGGGUCUGGUGACGGUUCUUUGCUCCGCUUCCUGCCUCCCUCUUAGGUUUUCGCAACCCGAGAGACUUAGCCAGAGAAGAGGAAGCCGCCCUCCCUGCCCCUUGCGCCGCCACCCCUUUCGCUUGGUGAUGGCUGACCGGGUGACCAUCAUCUCGCCGCGCGACCCAUGGCCUUUUUCCAUGGUGAUGGCGAGUGAUCUGGAGGAUCUUGUUGGCGAGGGUUUACUCCGCCCUCUCACCGAUGAGCAGCGACCGGAAUGGAUUCCCCCCGUGGGCGGAGCCGCUCCGUCCCCACCACCGGGGUACAUCGUGAGCUUCGUCUCCUUCCACGAGCGGGGAUUUGGUGUGUCGGCGAGCCGCUUCAUGCGGGCGAUCCUGCACCACUACGGGGUGGAGUUGCAUAACCUCAGCCCCAACUCCAUCUCGCAAGCCGCCAUCUUCGUAGCGGUGUGCGAGGGGUACUUGGGGAUCGCCCCCCAUUGGGAUUUGUGGACCCAUCUCUUUUUCGCGGAGCUUUUUGCCUCACCGACGGGGGAGAGGAAGGUCCGCGCAGCGGUGCGGGCCGGUGGCUGCACCGUCCUGCUGAGGCAGUCGCGGGGCGUCGCUGUAUAUUCCUGCCAUCCUCGCGUCCUCGAACAAGGGGUGGCAGCGCCGGUGGUUCUACCUCCGGAAUGACGGCGAGUUGCUCCCGCCGUUCUCCCAGCGAGUAGUCACCACCACCGCCGAUGCUUGGCGCCACGGGACCCCGCACGAAAGACAAAAGAACCUCGAACCCCUUCUCAAGGCCUUGGAGGCGUUGCGGAAAGGGGGACUCACCGCUGCGGGAGUGAUUGCCGCCAUCCACCGUCGGAGGGUGCUUCCCUUGGCGGAGCGACGGCUGUCGCUUUGGGAGAUGACGCCGGAGGCUGACUUGGAGGGCUCGCGGAUGUCCUCUGAUCCUCUUCCCUUCGAUGUCCUCCACGGGCGGGUGUCCAUCGCGUUGGGCAAACCGGACCCCAGCGCCUUCUCCCAGCUUUUGAUGCGCCCAGACCAAGGGUGUGUGACUCUGGUGAGUGUCCGCUUCUUCCUUUCUCUUGCAUCGGGUUGCUCCUGGUUCUUACGAUUGGGGUUUUCCCCCUUCUUCAGGAGGUGGGGUGGCACAAGCCUUCCCUGCCACGGGUCCCGCAGGAUGCGGUGGACCGAGCAGCGCGACGGGUCGCCGCGGAGGAGAAGAAGAAAAAGAAGGACGCGAGAAGGUCCGAGCCCGCGAGCGGAGGCGGGCUCGAGACGCCUUGGAAAAGCUUCGUCGCCGGCAGGAGAGGGAGGGGCUCCCGAGGGAGCCGUCGCCGGAAACGCCCGACGACGGCGACGAUGAUGAAGAUGAUGACGAGGAGGACGACAUGGCUACCCGCCUUGGCCUCAGCCCCGGCUUGGGGUUUGGCCAGGAGCCGUCAAGCCAGCCCCCGAGCGGGCUGAUGCCGUCAGUCCCCGGAGUCGGGACGCCGGGGUCCCGGCCCGAGGGGCGGGGGCAAUCCGAGAGGGCACUUGACCCCUCGGCUGGAGGAGCUGAGGCGACCCCGGGGAGCCAGGCCGGGGCGUCUGCUCCCCAAGAGCCGCCGCCCGCGCCGGCAGCGCAGGGGAGCGACCCUUAGGUCGCCGUGGCAGUGCCUGGGCAGUCCGCCCCCCGGGCGUCCAGGGCGCCCAAAGCAAGGGUGGUGCCGAAGCUGCCGGUGAGGCGGACCUCGGCGGCGGUUCCGGGGGUCGAGGUCCAAGAGACCUCCCCCCAGGCGCGGUUGAUCCUGGCCCGGAGCGGGUAAGUACCUUGGAAUGUCUUCGUCCUGGCUUUUCAUUCAUAUGUCCCGGCCGUGAUUUUUCUUUUUCCCUCAGCAAGCGAAGCCAUGGCCUGACCGACCUGGCACCCCGGAAGGCCCUUAAGACGGCGCCGGCUUGCGCGGUCAGCGCCGCUCCGGGCCUUGCCGUUCAGCUGACCUUCUCGCAAGGUGCUCCACAGCAGGGGGCUCAGGCGGCAUCAGUCGCCGUGGAGCGGGUUCCCGAGGCUGGCUCUUCUGCUGAGGCGGCCAUUGUGAUAGGGGAGGCGACUGACGUGGACGUGGCCCCGUGCCCACCGGACGUGCCGGCCGUGCCGGCGCCUGUCGCUACUGAAGUCGCCGCCGCCCCAGUCGGGGAGCGACCGGUCGCUGCUGACGUUGAGACGGCUGAGGCGUCGGCGCUUGGUGCCUCGGAAGAGGGGGGCGUGGAGACGCGAUCCGUCCCGCCGGGCGGCAGCCUCGUCGCUGUGCGGCGGAGCUCCGAGGGCCAGCGUCAGUUGCUCCGGUUCCGGACCCGUGAGGCCUCGAAUCCCGUCUUCGUUCUCGACGAUGAACGGGAGGACCAGUCCUGGGACGAGCUCCGCGAGUGUGCCGAAGCAAUGGUGGGGUCGCUCCGGUCGUCGCUGGAGGUUUUCUGCAGGGACGUCCCCAAAAUCCUCCAGGUAGCGGUUUCAGGCAUACCUUUUCUCUUUUGUGACCAAGGCGUCUUUCGUGACGCCCUGCUUCCUUCCCUCAGGAUCUGAUGGAUCGGAGCGCCGCCAAGUCGUCGUUCAUCCGCCGCGAGGUCGACGUCUGGGGCUCGCUGCGAUCCCUGAGGACCUCGCUCGCCGGGGCUACUGCGCGCCUCUCUCAGCAGGGUGCCGAGGUAGCGGACCUUCAGUUGCUCUGCACCGAUCUGAGAGCCGAGGCGGCAGCGGCGCGCGCGGAGGCGGCCGCGGCGCGCGCAGAAGCGCAACGACAGCAGUCGGAGUUCGACCGGGUCGUCAAGGAGCGGGACCAAUCUCGGGGCCGGGCUGCCGAGGCCGAAAGCCGGGCCGAAACCCUUGCAGCCGACUUAGCCGUAGCCCAGGUCGCAGCCUCGGAGCAGCGUGCCCGAGCCGGAGGUACGCCUUGGCCAUCCUUGGUUUUCGUUCCUGCUUGUUUCCUCUGCUUGUGUUUGAGAUCUUUCUUCUGGCUGUUCGCAGAGCUCGAGUCCACCCUUGAUGAGUCCGCCAAGGCGCUUGCCGGGGCGGCCGAGCAGAGGGAGGCCGACCACGCGGCCAUGUCCGAGGCCGUCUCGGACGUUUACCGGGUCCUUGGCUCCGGCGAUGUCCCCUCAGGAAGCUCCCCUCAAAGUCGCCUUCAAGUCUUGGGCGAUCAUGUGCGCGGCAGACUCCGCGAGGCGCUACACCACAGCGUCAGGCGGGCCUUCGCCGUGCUCGCUUCCCACUAUGUUGUGGACCUGGAGCGGGUUAGCGGAGGGGUAUUGCCUUCCCGACGAAGAUGAAGCCGCCCUGGCAGAUGUCCAGAGGCUCGAUGCGGCCGCCGCGGGUCCGAGCGCAGUGCUGGCGACCACCUUUGAGGCGGAGAUCCUCCCACCUGCGUCGUCGCCGGAAGCCGGGAUGGACUUUGCCGAAGGUGGGGACAGAGCUGAAGGCGCGGCUCCUUCCCAAGGCGACGCCUAACUCUGUUGGAACAGUUUCUGUUGGAUGCACGUGUGUCUUUCUGCGGCCGCUGAGGCCUAAACACUUUGUUACCAUUGCAUGAAGUCGUACUCCUUUCCCUUUUAUUUUGCGUGUCCGGCUUCGCCUGUUAGUAACAGGGUGGCUUCCCCAAGUAGGUGUCACUUUUCGUGGCGGGUGACGAGUGAGGUGUCCCUAACCCGGAGGCAUAGGAGUCCCUUGGCUCAGUCGGCCUUGCCACUUACAUGCACCCACGUUCGCUCCUUAGGGUCCUGCUUCUGACAUAGCCGGGGGAACGCAAAAGCCUUUUUGAUUGAAAAUUUUGGACGCAGAGAGGUUCCCCAAUCUUGACGCAGAGGGGUUCCCCCCUUUUUAGCCCCCGAGGGAGGGUUGGGCUCUGCCGAGGCGAGGCUGACCCUUCCUUGACGACUAAGACUUGCGUGGGAGCGAGGUAUACGAACAACUUGAAAACACCUUAAGGGUAGAAGCGACGUAGUUGUUGGAUGUUCCAAGCGUUGUCGUAGACCUCGCCUUGACUGUUGGCCAGCUUGUACGUUCCGGGCUUCAGAACUUUGGCGAUGACGAACGGUCCCUCCCAGGGGGGCGUGAGCUUGUGCCUCCCUCGGGUGUCUUGUCGCAGCCGAAGCACCAGGUCGCCCACCUGGAGGUCUCGGGACUGGACCCCUCGAGCGUGGUAGCGUCGCAGGGACUGCUGGUACCGCGCCGAGUGUAGUAAGGCCUUGUCCCGAGCCUCCUCCAGCUGGUCCAGCGAGUCUUCUCGGCUAGCUUGGUUGCUUUGAUCGCUAUAGGCCCUCGUCCUCGGGGAGCCGUAUUCCAGGUCUGUGGGCAAGACGGCCUCGGCCCCGUAGACUAGGAAGAACGGCGUGAAGCCCGUGGCUCGGCUCGGCGUCGUCCUCAGGCUCCAGACCACCGAGGGGAGUUCCUUCAUCCAUCGCUUGCCGAACUUGUUGAGGUCGUUGUAGAUCCGAGGCUUGAGCCCUUGUAGAAUCAUGCCGUUGGCACGCUCUACUUGCCCAUUUUACAUGGGAUGAGCCACGGCGGCCUAGUCCACCCGGAUGUGGUGAUCCUCGCAGAAGUCCAAGAACUUUCUGCCGGUGAACUGGGUGCCGUUGUUGGUGAUGAUGGAGUUCGGGACCCCGAAGCGAUGGAUGAUGUUGGUGAAGAACGCCACCGCCUACUCGGACCUGAUGCUGUUCAGAGGUCGGACCUCGAUCCACUUGGAGAAUUUGUCGAUGGCGACCAGCAGGUGCGUGUAGCCCCCGGGUGCCUUCUGCAAGGGGCCGACGAGAUCCAGACCCCACACGGCGAAAGGCCAGGCGAUGGGUAUCGUCUGCAGAGCCUGAGCGAGCAGGUGGGUCUGCCUCGCGUAGAAUUGACACCCUUCGCAGGUGCGGACAAUUCUAGUGGCGUCGGCCACCGCCGUCGGCCAGUAGAAGCCUUGUCGGAAAGCAUUCCCGACAAGGGCUCGAGGCGCUGCGUGAUGGACGCAAGCCCCUGAGUGUAUCUCUCGCAUGAGUUCCUGACCUUCGGCGACGGAGAUGCAUCGCUGGAGGAUGCCAGAGGGGCUGCGGUGGUAGAGCUCCUUCUCAUCGCCCAGCAAGACGAACGACUUGGCGCGCCGCGCCACCCGCCGAGCCUCGGCUCGGUCGAGGGGUAGCUCUCCUUGGUGGAGAUAUUGCAGGUACGGGGUCUGCCAGUUUCGAUCAGGCGUGACCCCGCUUCGCUCCUCCUCGACGCGCAGUGCCUCACCCUCGGGGGCCGAGGGUACCUCGGGCUGAACCGAGGGCGCCUCGGGCCGAGCUGAGGGUGCCUCGGGCUGUGCCGAGGAUACCUCGGGCUGGGCCGAGGGUACCUCGGACUGGGUCGAGGGCGCCUCAGGCUCGGGCGUGUUGUCGAUCUUGACGGAGGGUUGAUGCAGAUCCCGGGAGAAGACGUCUGGGGGAACCUGAAAGGGAAAUGUGCCUUUGGGCCAUUUCUAAGUAUUUUGGUGAUUGAGUGCCAACACAAGUGCUUAAAUGUGAAUCUAUGCCCAUGGAUGAACAAAGUGCAAAACACAAGUAAAGGUAUGUUUCUAAGCCUUAGUACAUUGGUUUUGUGUACUAAUGUAUUUGUCUAAGUGUUAGAAACAGAGAGAAGAAGAAAAGGAGAAUGUUGGCUGUGUACAGCCAACAGGCUGUUUCGGUCUGGGGCACCGGACUGUCCGGUGGUGCACCGGACAGUGUCUGGUUCACCAGGCUGCCUCGACCUGAAGACGCCGCUCUCGGGAAUUUGCCGACGGCGUACGGCUAAAAUUCACCGGACUGUCCGGUGUGCACCGGACUGUCCGGUGAGCCAACGGUCGGCCGAGCCAACGGUCGGCCGCGGAAUCUGCGCGCAACACGUGGUCUGGCCAACGGUCGGAAGGAGGCACCGGACUGUCUGGUGUGCACCGGAAUGUCCGGUGCGCCAGAUCUGCAACGGUCGGCAACGGUCGGCUGCGCUGUUUAAGGAAAUAAAUCGGGCAUCGAACAGUGUCCGGUGUGCACCGGACUGUCCGGUGCACCCGACGACAGAAGGCAAGGAUGGCCUUCCAGAUUUGCUCUCAACGGCUCCUAGCUGCCUUAGGGCUAUAAAAGGGACCCCUAGGCGCAUGGAGAAGAUACUCAAGCAACCUUAGAGCAUUCUUGAUCAUCCACACUCAGUCUUUGCGCAUUCGUUUGUCAUUCUCAGUGAUUCGAGCUCCGUUCUAGUGAGAACUUUGAGAUAGUCUUUCGAGCUCGAUUCUUGGCCGUGUGUGUGCGCAUUUUGCUGUGGAUUUGUGUGUGUUGCUUCUCUCCCUUACUCCGUGCUUCUUUGUGAACUUCAAGUGUAAGGGUGAGAGACUCCAAGUUAUGGAGAUUCCUCGCGAACGAGAUAAGAAAGGAAAAGCAUAACACUGUGGUAUUCAAGUUGAUCAUUGGAUCACUUGAGAGGAGUUGAGUGCAACUCUCGUCCGUUGGGACGCCACAACGUGGAGUAGGCAAGUUUUGUACUUGGCCGAACCACGGGAUAAAUCACUGUGUCUUCUCUGUGUUGAACUUCUUGUGAUUAUCAUAUUGUGCAAGAUCUUCGCUCUAGCCACUUGGCAUUAGCUGUGCUAACGCUUAACAAGUUUUUGUGGCUAUAAGUUGAAUUUUACAGGAUCACCUAUUCACCCCCCCUCUAGGUGCUCUCAAUUGGUAUCAGAGCCGUUCUCUUCAAGAAAGGGACUAACCGCCCGAAGAGAUGGAUCCUAAGGGGAAGGGAAUCGUGAUCAAUGAUAAGGAGAAGGAGUCCUUCGUCAACGAGCCCAAAGAUGACAAGCCUACCGACUCCGGCUCGGGCCAUAGACGGAAGGAAGGGAAGAAGAAGAAGACAAGGCGCAUCAAGGAGAUUGUCUACAACGACGACAGCGACGAAUCUUCCUCUUCCCAAAAGGACGACGACAACGACUACAGGAAGACGGUCAAUUCGAACUUUUCAUUUGAUUAUUCUCGUAUUCCACAUAAUUCGAAUUCGCAUUUGCUUUCCAUUCCUCUUGGCAAACCUCCACACUUUGAUGGGGAGGACUACGGAUUUUGGAGUCACAAAAUGUGUAGUCACUUAUUCUCUCUUCAUCCAAGCAUAUGGGAGAUUGUAGAGAAUGGAAUGAAAUUUGAUAGCUCGGAUAGUCCUAUGCUUAUAAAUGAACAAAUCCAUAGAAAUGCACAAGCUACUACUGUUCUCUUAGCAUCUUUGUGCAGGGAAGAAUACAAUAAGAUGAGCGGCUUGGACAAUGCCAAGCAGAUAUGGGACACCCUCAAGAUCUCUCACGAGGGCAACGACGUCACCAUGCUCACCAAGAUGGAGUUGGUGGAGGGCGAACUUGGGAGAUUCGCUAUGAUAAGGGGGGAGGAGCCAACCCAAACAUACAACCGGCUCAAAACCCUUGUCAACAAGAUAAGGAGCUAUGGAAGCACGCGAUGGACGGACCACGACGUCGUCCGCCUAAUGCUAAGGUCCUUUACCGUUCUUGAUCCUCAUUUGGUGAAUAAUAUUCGUGAGAAUUCCAGGUACACCAAAAUGUCGCCCGAAGAAGUUCUUGGGAAGUUCGUAAGCGGGCGAAUGAUGAUUAAGGAGGCAAGAUACGUGGACGACGCGUUGAACGGUCCUAUUCAUGAGGCUCAACCCAUUGCUCUCAAGGCCACAAGGAGCAAGGAGGCGCUACCAAGCAAGGUGGCGCAAGUUGAGGCGGCCGGGCUAAAUAAUGAGGAGAUGGCCCUCAUCAUUAAGCGCUUCAAGACAGCUUAAAGGUCGCAAGGGACAGCCAAGCAAGACCAAGACAAAGGAGAAGCGCUCAUGCUUCAAAUGUGGUAAGAUUGGUCAUUUCAUUGCUAACUGUCCCGAUAAUGAAAGUGACCAGGAAAAAGGGGACAAGAGGGAAAAGAAGAAGCAUUACAAGAAGGCCAAGGGCGAGGCACAUAUCGGAAAGGAGUGGGAUUCGGAUUGCUCCUCCUCCGACUCCGACAAUGAAGGACUCGCCGCCACUGCCUUCAAUAAGUCAUCCCUCUUCCCCAACGAGCGUCACACAUGCCUUAUGGCAAGGGAGAAAAAGGUAUGUAAUCAAAACAAUGUCACUUAUGAUUCUUCCAGUGAUGAUGAGUCUAGUGAUGAUGAAAUAGAUUACUCUAGUUUGUUCAAGGGAUUAGAUAGAAAUAAGAUUGAUAAAAUCAAUGAAUUGAUUGAUGCAUUGAAUGAGAAGGAUAAACUCUUAGAGAAACAAGAGGAUUUAUUGUAUGAAGAGCAUGAUAAAUUUGUAGAAGCUCAAAGAUCUCAUGCUCUAGAAGUUAAAAGAAAUGAAAUGCUUUCUUUUGAACUAUCCACUUGUCAUGAAACCAUUUCUACUUUAAAAGGUGUUAACAAUGAUUUAAAUGCUAAACUAGUAGAAGCAAAUAAAUCCAACUCUUGUGUUCAACAUGUUGAAAUUUGCACUAGGUGUAAAGAUGUAGAUAUUAAUGCUUGUAGUGAACACUUAGUUUCUAUUUCAAAAUUGAAUGAUGAAUUAGCUAGUCUUAAUGCCCAACUUGAGACUAACAAAAGUGAUUUUGAGAAACUAAAAUUUGCUAGGGAUGCCUACACGGUUGGUAGACACCCCUCAAUUAAGGAUGGACUUGGCUUCAAAAGAGAAGCCAAGAACUUAACAAGCCAUAAGGCUCCCAUUCCCGCCAAGGAGAAAGGGAAGGCCCCUAUGGCUAGUAGUGUGCAAAAGAAUCAUGCGUUUAUGUACCAUGAUAAGAGACAAACUAGAAAUGCUUAUAGGAGUUACAAUGCUUAUGAUGAUUUUGAUUCUCAUGACAUGUUUGCUUCUAGUUCUUUCUAUGUGCAUGAUAAAAAUGUUGGUAGGAGAAAUGUUGUUCACAAUAUGCCUAGGAGAAAUGUUCCUAGAAGAGUUAAUGAACCUUCUACAAUAUAUCAUGCUUUAAAUGCUUCCUUUGCUAUUUGUAGAAAGGACAAGAAAAUAGUUGCUAGGAAGUUAGGGGCAAAAUGCAAGGGAGACAAAACUUGCAUUUGGGUCCCUAAGGAUAUUUGUGCUAACCUUGUAGGACCCAACAUGAGUUGGGUACCUAAGUCCCAAGCCUAAAUUUGCCUUGCAGGUUUAUGCAUCCGGGGGAUCAAGCUGGAUUAUUGAUAGCGGAUGCACAAACCAUAUGACGGGGGAGAAGAAGAUGUUCUCCUCCUACGUCAAGAAUAAGGAUUCCCAAGAUUCAAUUGUAUUCGGUGAUGGGAAUCAAGGCAAGGUAAAAGGGUUAGGUAAAAUUGCAAUUUCUAAUGAGCACUCUAUCUCUAAUGUGUUUUUAGUAGAGUCUCUUGGAUAUAAUUUGCUAUCUGUUAGUCAAUUAUGCAACAUGGGGUAUAACUGUCUAUUUACAAAUGUAGAUGUGUCUGUCUUUAGAAGAAGUGAUGGUUCACUAGCUUUUAAGGGUGUAUUAGACGGCAAACUUUAUUUAGUUGAUUUUGCAAAAGAAGAAGCCGGUCUAGAUGCAUGCUUAAUAGCUAAGACUAGCAUGGGCUGGCUGUGGCAUCGCCGCUUAGCACAUGUGGGGAUGAAGAACCUUCACAAGCUUCUAAAGGGAGAACACGUGAUAGGUUUGACUAACGUGCAAUUCGAAAAGGAUAGACCUUGUGCAGCUUGUCAAGCAGGUAAGCAAGUGGGAGGAGCACAUCACAGCAAGAAUGUGAUGACCACUUCAAGACCUCUGGAGCUGCUACAUAUGGACCUCUUCGGACCCGUCGCCUAUCUGAGCAUAGGAGGAAGUAAGUAUGGUCUAGUUAUUGUUGAUGACCUUUCCCGCUUCACUUGGGUGUUCUUUUUGCAGGAUAAGUCUGAAACCCAAGGGACCCUCAAGCGCUUCCUCAGGAGAGCUCAAAAUGAGUUUGAGCUCAAGGUGAAGAAGAUAAGGAGCGACAACGGGUCCGAGAUCAAGAAUCUUCAAGUGGAGGAGUUCCUUGAAGAGGAAGGGAUCAAGCACGAGUUCUCCGCUCCCUACACACCACAGCAAAAUGGUGUAGUAGAGAGGAAGAACAGGACGCUCAUUGAUAUGGCGAGGACGAUGCUAGGAGAGUUCAAGACCCCCGAGUGCUUUUGGACGGAAGCUGUGAACACGGCUUGCCACGCCAUCAACAGGGUCUACCUUCAUCGCCUCCUCAAGAAGACGUCGUAUGAGCUACUAACCGGUAACAAACCCAAUGUAUCCUACUUUCGUGUAUUUGGGAGCAAAUGCUACAUUCUAGUGAAGAAAGGUAGAAAUUCUAAGUUUGCUCCCAAAGCUGUAGAAGGGUUUUUAUUAGGUUAUGACUCAAAUACAAAGGCGUAUAGAGUCUUCAACAAAUCAUCGGGUUUGGUUGAAGUCUCUAGCGACGUUGUAUUUGAUGAGACUAAUGGCUCUCCAAGAGAGCAAGUUCUUGAUUGUGAUGAUGUAGAUGAAGAAGAUGUUCCGACGGCCGCUAUACGAACCAUGGCGAUUGGAGAAGUACGGCCACAGGAACAAGAUGAACGAGAUCAACCUUCUUCCUCAACAAUGGUGCAUCCCCCAACUCAAGAAGAUGAACAGGUUCAUCAACAGGAGGCGUGUGAUCAAGGGGGAGCACAAGAUGAUCAUGUGAUAGAGGAAGAAGCGCAACCAGCACCUCCAACCCAAGUUCGAGCGAUGAUUCAAAGGGAUCAUCUCGUCGAUCAAAUUCUUGGUGACAUUAGCAAGGGAGUAACUACUCGGUCUCGAUUAGUUAAUUUUUGUGAACAUUACUCCUUUGUCUCUUCUAUUGAGCCUUUCAGGGUAGAAGAGGCCUUGCUAGAUCCGGACUGGGUGUUGGCCAUGCAAGAGGAGCUCAACAACUUCAAAAGGAAUGAAGUUUGGACACUGGUGCCUCGUCCCAAGCAAAAUAUUGUGGGAACCAAGUGGGUGUUCCGCAACAAACAGGACGAGCACGGGGUGGUGACAAGGAACAAGGCUCGACUUGUGGCAAAAGGUUAUGCCCAAGUCGCAGGUUUGGACUUUGAGGAGACUUUUGCUCCUGUGGCUAGACUAGAGUCCAUUCAUAUCUUGCUAGCAUAUGCCGCUCACCAUUCUUUCAGGUUGUACCAAAUGGAUGUGAAGAGCGCUUUCCUCAAUGGGCCAAUAAAGGAGGAGGUGUACGUGGAGCAACCCCCUGGCUUCGAGGAUGAACGGUAUCCCGACCACGUGUGUAAGCUCUCUAAGGCGCUCUAUGGACUUAAGCAAGCCCCAAGAGCAUGGUAUGAAUGCCUUAGAGACUUUCUAAUUGUUAAUGCUUUCAAGGUUGGGAAAGCCGAUCCAACUCUGUUUACAAAGACAUGUGAUGGUGAUUUGUUUGUGUGCCAAAUUUAUGUCGAUGACAUAAUAUUUGGUUCUACUAACCAAAAGUCUUGUGAAGAGUUUAGCAGGGUGAUGACACAGAAAUUCGAGAUGUCGAUGAUGGGCGAGUUGAACUACUUCCUUGGGUUCCAAGUGAAGCAACUCAAGGACGGGACCUUCAUCUCUCAAACGAAGUACACGCAAGACUUGCUGAAGCGGUUUGGGAUGAAGGAUGCCAAGCCCGCAAAGACUCCGAUGGGGACCGACGGACACACUGACCUCAACAAAGGAGGUAAGUCCGUUGAUCAAAAGGCAUACCGGUCAAUGAUAGGGUCAUUACUUUACUUAUGUGCUAGUAGACCGGAUAUUAUGCUUAGUGUAUGCAUGUGUGCAAGAUUUCAAUCCGAUCCUAAGGAGUGUCACUUAGUGGCGGUGAAGCGAAUUCUUAGAUAUUUAGUUGCUACGCCUUGCUUCGGGCUCUGGUAUCCAAAGGGGUCUACCUUUGACUUGAUUGGAUAUUCAGACUCCGACUAUGCUGGAUGUAAGGUCGAUAGGAAGAGUACAUCGGGGACGUGCCAAUUCUUAGGAAGGUCCCUGGUGUCGUGGAAAUCUAAGAAACAAACCUCCGUUGCCCUAUCCACCGCUGAGGCCGAGUACGUUGCCGCAGGACAGUGUUGCGCGCAACUACUUUGGAUGAGGCAAACCCUCCGGGACCUUGGCUACAAUCUGAGCAAAGUCCCACUCCUAUGUGAUAAUGAGAGUGUUAUCCGCAUGGCGGAAAAUCCUGUUGAGCACAGCCGCACAAAGCACAUAGACAUCCGGCAUCACUUUUUGAGAGACCACCAGCAAAAGGGGGAUAUCGAAGUGUUUCAUGUUAGCACCGAGAACCAGCUAGCCGAUAUCUUUACCAAGCCUCUAGAUGAGAAGACCUUUUGCAGGCUGCGUAGUGAGCUAAAUGUCUUAGAUUCGCGGAACUUGGAUUGAAUUGUAGCAUACAUGUGUUUAUGCCUUUGAUCAUGUUCAUUCUGCAUUUUGUUGCUUAUUGUGGUGCUCAAGUUGUACAAACACUCUCUGGACCUCACAAGUCCGUUGCAAAGUGAUGCACAUAUUAAGGGGGAGAUGUGUUACAACUUGACCCUUUGAGACUAACCAUAUGCUUGAGUUUGCUUGAUUUAGUCUCGAAGGAGAAUUGAAAGGGAAAAGGUGGACUUGGACCAUGAAAGACUUCCACUGCACUCCGAUGAGAGGGUAACUUAUUCCAAGUUCAUCUCAUGAACUCGUAUUGCCAUUUGCUCUUAAUUGAAGAUUUUGGUGAGGCAAUGGGGUUAUUGGGCCAAAAUUGAUCCCGUUUUGGUGCUUGAUGCCAAAGGGGGAGAAAAUAAAGGCCAAAGUGAAAAAUGGAUCAGCUACCACUUGAGAGAUUUGAAAAUAGUAGAGUAGAGUUUUUGAUUUGUCAAAACUCUUUGUUUUUGAUUUGUCACCACUUGAGAGAUUUGAAAAUAGUAGAGUAGAGUUUUUGAUUUGUCAAAACUCUUUGUUUUUGAUUUGUCAAAACUCUUUCAUUAUCUCUUUUGUCAAAAGUUGGCUUCUUGUGGGGAGAAGUAGUGAUUAUGGGAAAAAGGGGGAGUUUUUGAAAUCCUUGAUAAAUCUCUUUUGGAAUGACUCUCUUUAUGUUUCAACAUGUGUGUUUGACUUAGAGAUAGAGAUUUGAGUUUGAUUUGCAAAAACAAACCAAGUGGUGGCAAAGGAUGAUCCAUAUAUGCCAAAAAUGAAUCAAAAUAGAUUUGAGUUCUAUUUGAAGUGAUUUUGAACUUGUUCUAGUUGCUUUAUGUUGUGUUGGCAUAAAUCACCAAAAAGGGGGAGAUUGAAAGGGAAAUGUGCCUUUGGGCCAUUUCUAAGUAUUUUGGUGAUUGAGUGCCAACACAAGUGCUUAAAUGUGAAUCUAUGCCCAUGGAUGAACAAAGUGCAAAACACAAGUAAAGGUAUGUUUCUAAGCCUUAGUACAUUGGUUUUGUGUACUAAUGUAUUUGUCUAAGUGUUAGAAACAGAGAGAAGAAGAAAAGGAGAAUGUUGGCUGUGUACAGCCAACAGGCUGUUUCGGUCUGGGGCACCGGACUGUCCGGUGGUGCACCGGACAGUGUCCGGUGCACCAGGCUGCCUCGACCUGAAGACACCGCUCUCGGGAAUUUGCCGACGACGUACGGCUAAAAUUCACCAGACUGUCCGGUGUGCACCGGACUGUCCGGUGAGCCAACGGUCGGCCGCGGAAUCUGCGUGCAACACGUGGUCUGGCCAACGGUCGGAAGGAGGCACCGGACUGUCCGGUGUGCACCGGACUGUCCGGUGCGCCAGAUCUGCAACGGUCGGCAACGGUCGGCUGCGCUGUUUAAGGAAAUAAAUCGGGCACCGGACAGUGUCCGGUGUGCACCGGACUGUCCGGUGCACCCGACGACAGAAGGCAAGGAUGGCCUUCCAGAUUUGCUCUCAACGGCUCCUAGCUGCCUUAGGGCUAUAAAAGGGACCCCUAGGCGCAUGGAGAAGAUACUCAAGCAACCUUAGAGCAUUCUUGAUCAUCCACACUCAGUCUUUGCGCAUUCGUUUGUCAUUCUCAGUGAUUCGAGCUCCGUUCUAGUGAGAACUUUGAGAUAGUCUUUCGAGCUCGAUUCUUGGCCGUGUGUGUGCGCAUUUUGCUGUGGAUUUGUGUGUGUUGCUUCUCUCCCUUACUUCGUGCUUCUUUGUGAACUUCAAGUGUAAGGGUGAGAGACUCCAAGUUGUGGAGAUUCCUCGCGAACGAGAUAAGAAAGGAAAAGCAUAACACUGUGGUAUUCAAGUUGAUCAUUGGAUCACUUGAGAGGAGUUGAGUGCAACUCUCGUCCGUUGGGACGCCACAACGUGGAGUAGGCAAGUUUUGUACUUGGCCGAACCACGGGAUAAAUCACUGUGUCUUCUCUGUGUUGAACUUCUUGUGAUUAUCAUAUUGUGCAAGAUCUUCGCUCUAGCCACUUGGCAUUAACUGUGCUAACGCUUAACAAGUUUUUGUGGCUAUAAGUUGAAUUUUACAAGAUCACCUAUUCACCCCCCCUCUAGGUGCUCUCAGAACCGUUGUUCGCCCCAAGGCUUUUAGCCAGCUCGUCUGCAGUCUCGUUGUAGCGCUGAAAGGGAAAUGUGCCCUUGGGCCAUUUCUAAAUAUUUUGGUGAUUGAGUGCCAACACAAGUGCUUAAAUGUGAAUCUAUACCCAUGGAUGGACAAAGUGCAAAUCAAGAGUAAAGGUAUGUUUCUAAGCCUUAGUACAUUGUUUUGAAGACUAAUGUAUUGUGUCUAAGUGCUUGAAACAGGAGAAAUCAAGUCAGAGAAAAGUUGGCUAUGUACAGCCAAAAGGUUGUUCGGUCUGGAGCACCGGACUGUCCGGUGGUGCACCGGACAGUGUCCGGUGCGCCAGACUGACUCGGGCGAACUGGCCGCUCUCGGGAAUUUACCGGCGACGUACGGCUAUAAUUCACCGGACUGUCCGGUGUGCACCGGACUGUCCGGUGAGCCAACGGUCGGCCGCGCGAUCUGCGGGGGACACGUGGCCGAGCCAACGGACUAGAAGGGGGCACCGGACUGUCCGGUGUGCACCGGACAUGUCCGGUGUGCACCGGACAUGUCCGGUGCGCCAACGGCUCUCUGACGGCCAACGGUCGGCUGCGCCGUUUAAGGAAAGAAAUCAGGCACCGGACUGUCCGGUGCACCAGUCGACAGAAGGCAAGAUCAGCCUUCCAGAUUUGCUCUCAACGGCUCCUAGCUGCCUUGGGGCUAUAAAAGGGACCCCUAGGCACAUGGAGGAGAACAACAAGCAUUCCUACAACAUUCCUAAGCACCAAGACAUCGAUUUCGCGCAUUUGGUUCAUUGUGAUAGCAUCUAGAGCUCUUGUUGAGUUGUGAACUCAUUGAGUUGUGUUGCGAGCUCUUGUUGCGACUUGUGUGCGUGCUGUUGCUCUGAUUUUGAGUCUUGUGUGUGUUGCUAGUUCCUCCCUUACUCCGUAUUUCUUUGUGAAUCUCAAGUGUAAGGGCGAGAGGCUCCAAGUUGUGGAGAUUCCUCGCAAACGGGAUAUUGAAAGGCAAAGCAAAACACCGUGGUAUUCAAGUUGGUCUUUGGACCGCUUGAGAGGGGUUGAUUGCAACCCUCGUCCGUUGGGACGCCACAACGUGGAGUAGGCAAGCGUUGGUCUUGGCCGAACCACGGGAUAAACCACUGUGUCAUCUCUGUGUUUGAUCUCUUGUGGUAUUAUGUUUUGUUGAGACUCCUCUCUAGCCACUUGGCGAUUAUUGUGCUAACACUUAACAAGUUUUUGUGGCUAUAAGUUUAAGUUUCACAGGAUCACCUAUUCACCCCCCCUCUAGGUGCUCUCAAUUGGUAUCGGAGCCGUUCUCUUCACAAAGGGACUAACCGCCCGAAGAGAUGGAUCCUAAAGGGAAGGGAAUCGUGAUCAACGACAAGGAGAAGGAGUCCUUCGUCAACGAGCCAAGGGAUGACAAGUCCAACGACUCGGGCUCGGGCCACAAACGCAAAGAUGGGAAGAAGAAGAAGACAAGACGCAUCAAGGAGAUCGUCUACUACGACAGCGAUGAGUCUACUUCCUCCCAAAAGGACGACGACUACAACGAAUACGAGAGAAAGAAACCGGUCAAUUCGAACUUUUCUUUUGAUUACUCUCGUAUUCCUCAAAGUACUAAUGCUCAUUUAUUAUCUAUUCCACUUGGUAAACCUCCUCAUUUUGAUGGAGAGGACUACGGAUUUUGGAGUCACAAAAUGCGUAGUCACUUGUUCUCUCUCCAUCCUAGCAUAUGGGAGAUUGUAGAAAGUGGAAUGCACUUUGAUAGUACGGAUAGUCCCAUGUUUAUUAAUGAACAAAUUCAUAAAAAUGCACAAGCUACUACUGUGUUGCUAGCCUCUUUGUGCAGGGACGAGUACCAUAAGGUGAGCGGCUUGGACAAUGCCAAGCAGAUCUGGGACACCCUCAAGAUCUCUCAUGAGGGGAAUGAUGUCACCUUGCUCACCAAGAUGGAGUUGGUGGAGGGCGAGCUUGGACGAUUCGCAAUGAUAAGGGGCGAGGAGCCAACUCAAACAUACAACCGGCUCAAGACCCUUAUCAACAAAAUAAGGAGCUACGGAAGCACGCGAUGGACGGAUCACGACGUCGUCCGCCUAAUGCUAAGGUCAUUUACCGUUCUUGAUCCUCACUUGGUGAACAAUAUUCGUGAAAAUCCUAGGUACAUCAAGAUGUCGCCCGAAGAAAUUCUUGGAAAAUUUGUAAGCGGACGAAUGAUGAUCAAGGAAGCGAGGUACGUGGACGACGCGUUGAAUGGCCCUAUUCAUGAGCCUCAACCCAUUGCUCUCAAGGCAACGAGGAGCAAGGAGGCGCUACCGAGCAAGGUGGCACAAGUUGAGGCGGCCGGGCUAAAUAAUGAGGAGAUGGCCCUCAUCAUUAAGCGCUUCAAGACGGCGCUUAAAGGUCGCAAGGGACAGCCAAGCAAGACCAAGACAAAGGAGAAGCGCUCGUGCUUCAAAUGUGGUAAGAUUGGUCAUUUCAUUGCUAACUGUCCCGAUAAUGAAAGUGACCAGGAAAAGGGGAACAAAAGGGAGAAGAAGAAGCAUUACAAGAAGGCCAAGGGCGAGGCACAUAUCGGAAAGGAGUGGGAUUCGGAUUGCUCCUCCUUCGACUCCGACAAUGAAGGACUCGCCGCCCUCGCCUUCAACAAGUCAUCCCUCUUCCCCAACGAGCGUCACACUUGCCUCAUGGCAAGGGAGAAGAAAGUAAGCACUCAUGAUACUAGUACUUAUGCUUCUUCAAGUGAGGAUGAGUCUAGUGAUGAUGAUGAGAUAGAUUACUCAUGCUUAUUCAAGGGAUUAGAUAGAUCUAAAAUUAAUAAGAUUAAUGAGUUGAUUGAUGCUUUGAAUGACAAGAAUAGAUUACUAGAAAAACAAGAGGAUCUUUUAUAUGAGGAGCAUGAUAAAUUUGUUAGUGCACAAAAUUCUCUUGCUCUAGAAAUUAAAAGGAAUGAAAUGCUCUCUAGUGAAUUAUCUACUUGUCAUGAAUCCAUCUCUAAAUUAAAAGGUGUUAAUGAUGAUUUGAAUGCUAAGUUAGAAAUAGCUAGUAAAUCAACAUCUUGUGUAGAAAUUGUUGAAACUUGCAAUAGGUGUAAAGAUUUUGACAUUGAUGCUUGUAGUGAACACCUAGUUUCAAUUUCCAAACUUAAUGAUGAAUUGGCUAGUCUUAAUGCUCAACUUAAGACUAGCAAGGGUAAUUUUGAUAAGCUAAAAUUUGCAAGGGAUGCCUACACAAUUGGUAGACACCCCUCAAUUAAGGAUGGACUUGGCUACAAGAAGGAAGCCAAGAACUUGACAAGCCAUAAGGCUCCCAUCUCCGCCAAGGAGAAAGGGAAGGCCCCUAUGGCUAGUAGUGUGCAAAAGAACCAUGCCUUUAUGUACCAUGACAGGAGACAAUCUAGAAAUGCUUAUAGGAGACGUAACGCAUAUGAUGCUUUUGAUUCUCAUGACAUGUUUGCUUCUAGUUCUUCUUAUGUGCAUGAUAGAAAUGUUGGUAGGAGAAAUGUUGUUCAUAAUAUGCCUAGGAGAAAUGUUGUUAAUGUUCCUAGGAAAGUAAUGAAUGAACCCUCUACAAUUUAUCAUGCUUUAAAUGCUUCCUUUGCUAUUUGUAGAAAGGAUAGGAAAAUAGUUGCUAGGAAGUUAGGGGCAAAAUGCAAGGGAGACAAAACUUGCAUUUGGGUCCCUAAGGAUAUUUGCACUAACCUUGUAGGACCCAACAUCAGUUGGGUACCUAAGACCCAAGCCUAAAUCUGCCUUGCAGGUUUAUGCAUCCGGGGGUUUAAGCUGGAUUAUCGACAGCGGAUGCACAAACCAUAUGACGGGGGAAAAGAAGAUGUUCACCUCCUACGUCAAGAAUAAGGAUUCCCAAGAUUCAAUUAUAUUCGGUGCUGGGAAUCAAGGCAAGGUAAAAGGGUUAGGUAAAAUUGCAAUUUCUAAUGAGCACUCUAUCUCCAAUGUGUUUUUAGUUGAGUCUCUUGGUUACAAUUUGCUAUCUGUUAGUCAACUAUGCAAUAUGGGAUAUAAUUGUCUUUUUACAAAUGUAGAUGUGUCUGUCUUUAGAAGAAGUGAUGGUUCACUAGUCUUUAAGGGUGUAUUAGACGGCAAGCUUUACUUAGUUGAUUUUGCAAAAGAAGAGGCCGGUCUAGAUGCAUGCUUAAUUGCUAAGACUAGCAUGGGCUGGCUGUGGCAUCGCCACUUAGCACAUGUGGGGAUGAAAAAUCUUCACAAGCUUCUAAAGGGAGAACACGUGAUAGGUUUGACUAACGUACAAUUCGAAAAAGAUAGACCUUGUGCAGCUUGUCAGGCAGGUAAAUAGGUGGGAGGAGCGCAUCGCAGCAAGAAUGUGAUGACCACAUCAAGACCCCUGGAGCUGCUACAUAUGGACCUCUUCGGACCCGUCGCCUAUCUAAGCAUAGGAGGAAGUAAGUAUGGUUUAGUUAUUGUUGAUGAUUUUUCCCGCUUCACUUGGGUGUUCCUUUUGCAGGAUAAGUCUGAAACCCAAGGGACCCUCAAGCGCUUCCUCAGGAGAGCUCAAAAUGAGUUUGGGCUCAAGGUGAAGAAGAUAAGGAGCGACAACGGGUCCGAGUUCAAGAACCUUCAAGUGGAGGAGUUCCUUGAGGAGGAAGGGAUCAAGCACGAGUUCUCCGCUCCCUACACACCACAGCAAAAUGGUGUGGUAGAGAGGAAGAACAGGACGCUAAUCGAUAUGGCGAGGACGAUGCUUGGAGAAUUCAAGACCCCCGAGCGUUUUUGGUCGGAAGCCGUGAACACGGCUUGCCACGCCAUCAACAGGGUCUACCUUCAUCGCCUCCUCAAGAAGACUUCGUAUGAGCUACUAACCGGUAACAAACCCAAUGUAUCUUACUUUCGUGUAUUUGGGAGCAGGUGCUACAUUCUAGUGAAGAAGGGUAGAAAUUCUAAAUUUGCUCCCAAAGCUGUAGAAGGGUUUUUGUUAGGUUAUGACUCAAAUACAAAGGCGUAUAGAGUCUUCAACAAAUCAUCGGGUUUGGUUGAAGUCUCUAGCGACGUUGUAUUUGAUGAGACUAAUGGCUCUCCAAGAGAGCAAGUUGUUGAUUGUGAUGAUGUAGAUGAAGAAGAUGUUCCGAUGGCCGCUAUACGAACCAUGGCGAUUGGAGAAGUGCGGCCACAGGAACAAGAUGAACGAGAUCAACCUUCUUCCUCAACAACGGUGCAUCCCCCAACUCAAGACGAUGAACAGGUUCAUCAAAAGGAGGCGUGUGAUCAAGGGGGAGCACAAGAUGAUCACGUGAUGGAGGAAGAAGCGCAACCGGCACCUCCAACCCAAGUUCGAGCGGUGAUUCAAAGGGAUCAUCCCGUCGACCAAAUUUUGGGUGACAUUAGCAAGGGAGUAACUACUCGAUCUCGAUUAGUUAAUUUUUGUGAGCAUUACUCCUUUGUCUCUUCUAUUGAGCCUUUCAGGGUAGAGGAGGCCUUGCUAGAUCCGGAUUGGAUAUUGGCCAUGCAGGAGGAACUCGACAACUUCAAGCGCAAUGAAGUUUGGACACUGGUGCCUCAUCCCAAGCAAAAUGUUGUGGGAACCAAGUGGGUGUUCCGCAACAAACAGGACGAGCAUGGGGUGGUGACGAGGAACAAGGCUCGACUUGUGGCAAAAGGUUAUGCCCAAGUCGCAGGAUUGGACUUUGAGGAGACGUUUGCUCCUGUGGCUAGGAUAGAAUCAAUUCGUAUCUUGCUAGCAUAUGCCGCUCACCAUUCUUUCAGGUUGUACCAAAUGGAUGUGAAGAGUGCUUUCCUCAAUGGGCCAAUCAAGGAGGAGGUGUACGUGGAGCAACCCCCUGGCUUCGAGGAUGAACGGUACCCCGACCACGUGUGUAAGCUCUCUAAGGCGCUCUAUGGACUUAAGCAAGCACCAAGAGCAUGGUAUGAAUGCCUUAGAGACUUCUUAAUUGCUAAUGCUUUCAAGGUUGGGAAAGCCGAUCCAACUCUUUUUACUAAGACUUGCGGCAGUGAUCUUUUUGUGUGCCAAAUUUAUGUCGAUGACAUAAUAUUUGGUUCUACUAACCAAAAGUCUUGUGAAGAGUUUAGCAGGGUUAUGAUGCAGAAAUUCGAGAUGUCGAUGAUGGGCGAGUUGAACUACUUCCUUGGGUUUCAAGUGAAGCAACUCAAGGACGGCACCUUCAUCUCCCAAACAAAGUACACGCAAGACUUGCUGAAGCGGUUUGGGAUGAAGGACGCCAAGCCCGCAAAGACUCCGAUGGGGACCGACGGACACACCGACCUCAACAAAGGAGGUAAGUCCGUUGAUCAAAAAGCAUACCGGUCAAUGAUAGGGUCUUUACUUUAUUUAUGUGCUAGUAGACCGUAUAUUAUGCUUAGCGUAUGCAUGUGUGCUAGAUUUCAAUCCGAUCCUAAGGAGUGUCACUUAGUGGCGGUGAAGCGAAUUCUUAGAUAUUUGGUUGCUACGCCUUGCUUCGGGCUCUGGUAUCCAAAGGGGUCUACCUUUGACUUGGUUGGAUACUCAGAUUCCGACUAUGCUGGAUGUAAGGUCGAUAGGAAGAGUACAUCAGGGACGUGCCAAUUCUUAGGAAGGUCCCUGGUGUCGUGGAACUCUAAGAAACAAACCUCAGUUGCCCUAUCCACCGCUGAGGCCGAGUAUGUUGCCGCAGGGCAGUGUUGCGCGCAACUACUUUGGAUGAGGCAAACCCUUCGGGACUUUGGCUACAAUCUGAGCAAAGUCCCACUCCUAUGUGACAAUGAGAGUGCUAUCCGCAUGGCGGAAAAUCCUGUUGAACACAGCCGCACAAAGCACAUUGACAUCCGGCAUCACUUUUUGAGAGACCACCAGCAAAAGGGAGAUAUCGAAGUGUUUCAUGUUAGCACCGAGAACCAGCUAGCCGAUAUCUUUACCAAGCCUCUAGAUGAGAAGACCUUUUGCUGGCUACGUAGUGAGCUAAAUGUCUUAGAUUCGUGGAACUUGGAUUGAAUUGUAGCAUACAUGUAUUUAUGCUUUUGAUCAUGUUCCUUUUUUGCAUUUUGUUGUUUAGUAUGGUGCUCAAGUUGUACAAACACUCCCUGGACCUCACAAGUCUGUUGCAAAGUGAUGCACAGUUUUAGGGGGAGAUGUGUUACAACUUGACCCUUUGAGACUAACCAUAUGCUUGAGUUUGCUUGUUUUAGUCUCGAAGGAGAAUUAAAAGGGAAAAGGUGGACUUGGAUCAUGCAAGACUUCCACUGCACUCCGAUGAAAAGAGUAACUUUUCCAAGUUCAUCUUUUAACUCUUAUUGCCUAUUUGCUCUUAAUUGAAGAUUUUGGUGAGGCAAUGGGGUUAAAGGGCCAAGAUUGAUCCCGUUUUGGUGCUUGAUGCCAAAGGGGGAGAAAAUAAAGGCCAAAGUAAUAAAUGGAUCAGCUACCACUUGAGAGAUUUUGAAAAUAGUAGAAUAGAGUUUUUUGUUUUGUCAAAACUCUUUUAUUGUCUCUCUUGUCAAAAGUUGGCUUCUUGUGGGGAGAAAUGUUGAUUAUGGGAAAAAGGGGGAGUUUUUGGAAUCCUAAAUCAAAUACUCCUGAAAUGACUCUCUUUAUGACUUAACAUGUGUGUUUGACUUAGAGAUAGAAAUUUGAGUUUUGAUUUGCAAAAACAAACCAAGUGGUGGCAAAGGAUGAUCCAUAUAUGCCAAAAUUGAAUCAAAAUAAAUUUAAGUUUUAUUUGAAGUGAUAUUGCACUUGUUCUAGUUGCUUUAUGUUGUGUUGGCAUAAAUCACCAAAAAGGGGGAGAUUGAAAGGGAAAUGUGCCCUUGGGCCAUUUCUAAGUAUUUUGGUGAUUGAGUGCCAACACAAGUGCUUAAAUGUGAAUCUAUACCCAUGGAUGGACAAAGUGCAAAUCAAGAGUAAAGGUAUGUUUCUAAGCCUUAGUACAUUGUUUUGAAGACUAAUGUAUUGUGUCUAAGUGCUUGAAACAGGAGAAAUCGAGUCAGAGAAAAGUUGGCUGUGUACAGCCAAAAGGGUGUUCGGUCUGGAGCACCGGACUGUCCGGUGGUGCACCGGACAGUGUUCGGUGCGCAAAACUGACUCGGGCGAACUGGCCACUCUCGGGAAUUUACCGACGACGUACGACUAUAAUUCACCGGACUGUCCGGUGUGCACCGAACUGUCCGGUGAGCCAACGGUCGGCCGGGCCAACGGUCGGCCACGCGAUCUGUGGGGGACACGUGGCCGAGCCAACAGACUAGAAGGGGGCACCGGACUGUCCGGUGUGCACCGGACAUGUCCGGUGUGCACCGGACAUGUCUGGUGCGCCAACGGCUCUCUGACGGCCAACGGUCGGCUGCGCCGUUUAAGGAAAGAAAUCAGGCACCGGACAGUGUCCGGUGUGCACCGGACUGUCCGGUGCACCAGUCGACAGAAGGCAAGAUCAGACUUCCAGAUUUGCUCUCAACGGCUCCUAGCUGCCUUGGGGCUAUAAAAGGGACCCCUAGGCGCAUGGAGGAGAACAACAAGCAUUCCUACAACAUUCCUAAGCACCAAGACAUCGAUUUCGCGCAUUUGGUUCAUUGUGAUAGCAUCUAGAGCUCUUGUUGAGUUGUGAACUCAUUGAGUUGUGUUGCGAGCUCUUGUUGCGACUUGUGUGCGUGCUGUUGCUCUGAUUUUGAGUCUUGUGUGCGUUGCUAGUUCCUCCCUUACUCCGUAUUUCUUUGUGAAUCUCAAGUGUAAGGGCGAGAGGCUCCAAGUUGUGGAGAUUCCUCGCAAACGGGAUAUUGAAAGGCAAAGCAAAACACCGUGGUAUUCAAGUUGGUCUUUGGACCGCUUGAGAGGGGUUGAUUGCAACCCUCGUCCGUUGGGACGCCACAACGUGGAGUAGGCAAGCGUUGGUCUUGGCCGAACCACGGGAUAAACCACUGUGUCAUCUCUGUGUUUGAUCUCUUGUGGUAUUAUGUUUUGUUGAGACUCCUCUCUAGCCACUUGGCGAUUAUUGUGCUAACACUUAACAAGUUUUUGUGGCUAUAAGUUUAAGUUUCACAGGAUCACCUAUUCACCCCCCCUCUAGGUGCUCUCAAGCGCCGAGCGAUGUGGUUGAGCUCGAGCCCGUAGAACUUGUCUUCCAAGCGCCGAACCUCAUCGCAGUAGACCUCCAUCUUCGGGUCGCGGCAGUGGGAGUUCUUCAUGACUUGGUCGAUGACGAGCUGCGAGUCACCGCGGGCGUCGAGGCGCCGGACCCCUAGCUCGAUGGCGAUCCGCAACCCGUUGACCAGAGCCUCAUACUCAACCACAUUGUUGGACGCCGGGAAAUGGAGGCAUAGAACAUAGCGUAUGUGUUUCCCGAGGGGCGAGAUGAAGAGUAGGCCUGCGCUGGCUCCCGUCUUUAUCAACGACCCGUCGAAAAACAUGGUCCAGAGCUCCGGUUGGAUCGGAGCCGUCGGUAGCUGGGUGUCGACCCAUUCGGCCACGAAGUCCGCCAAGACCUGGGACUUGAUGCCCCUCCGAGGGGCGAACGAGAUUGUCUCGCCCAUGAUUUCCACCGCCCACUUUGCAAUCCUACCCGAGGCCUCUCGGCACUGGAUGAUCUCUCCCAGGGGGAAGGAUGACACCACAGUUACCGGAUGAGACUCGAAGUAGUGUCGCAACUUCCGCCGUGUCAGGAUCACUGCAUACAGCAGCUUCUGAACUUGUGGGUAGCGGAUCUUGGUUUCGGACAGUACCUCGCUGACGAAGUAAACUGGCCUCUGAACGGGCAAUGCAUGCCCCUCUUCUUGCCUCUCGACCACAAUCGCGGCGCUAACCACCUGAGUGGUCGCGGCGACGUAGACCAAGAGGGCUUCUCCGGCAGCUGGAGGCACCAAGAUAGGCGCCUUUGUGAGGAGCGCCUUCAGGUUCCCGAGAGCUUCCUCGGUCUCAGGGGUCCAAGUGAAGCACUCGGCCUUCCUUAAGAGGCGGUACAGAGGUAGACCUCUUUUGCCGAGGCGUGAGAUGAAGCGGCUCAGAGCCGCGAGACAUCCCAUGACCCUCUGUACGCCUUUCAAGUCCUUGAUGGGCCCCAUGCUGGUGAUGGCUGCAAUCUUCUCCGGGUUGGCUUCGAUGCCCCGCUCGAAGACGAUGAACCCCAAGAGCAUGCCUCGGGGCACCCCGAAGACACACUUCUCGGGAUUGAGCUUGACGUCUUUCGCCUUGAGACAUCGGAAUGUCACUUCAAGGUCAGAAAGGAGGUCGGAAGCUUUCCUCGUCUUGACUACGAUGUCAUCGACGUAGGCCUCGACCGUGCGGCCAAUGUGUUCGCCGAACACAUGGUUCAUGCACCGCUGGUACGUCGCGCCCGCAUUCCUCAAGCCGAACGGCAUGGUGACAUAGCAGUACAUGCCGAAGGGUGUGAUGAAAGAAGUCGCGAGCUGGUCGGACUCUUUCAUCCUGAUUUGAUGAUACCCUGAGUAGGCAUCGAGGAAAGACAGGGUUUCGCACCCAGCAGUGGAAUCCACGAUUUGAUCAAUGCGAGGCAGAGGGUAGGGAACCUUCGGACAUGCUUUGUUGAGACCAGUGUAGUCUACACACAUCUGCCAUUUCCCCCUUUCUUUCUCACAAGCACAGGGUUGGCAAGCCAUUCGGGAUGGAAUACCUCUUUGAUGAACCCUGCUGCCAUUAGCUUGUGGAUCUCCUCGCCUAUGGCUCUGCACUUCUCCUCGUCGAAUCGGCGCAGAGGCUGCUUGACGGGUCGGGCUCCGACUCGAAUGUCCAGCGAGUGCUCGGCGACAUCCCUCGGUAUGCCGGGCAUGUCCGAGGGACUCCACGCGAAGACGUCGGCGUUCGCGCGGAGAAAGUCGACGAGCAUUGCUUCCUAUUUGGGAUCGAGCCCGGAGCCGAUCCAGAUCUGCUUGGAGGCGUCGCCGCUGGGGUCGAGGGGGACGGCCUUAACCGUCUCCACUGGCUCGAAGUUGCCGGCAUGACGCUUCACGUCUGGCACCUCCUUAGAGAGGCUUUCCCGGUCGGCGACGAGGGCCUCGGACUCGGCGAGGGCCUCGGCGUACUCCACGCACUCCACGUCGCAUUCGAACGCGUGUUUGUACGUGGGGUCGACGGUGAUGACCCCGUUGGGGCCCGACAUCUUGAGCUUCAGGUAGGUGUAGUUGGGGACGGCCAUGAACUUCGCGUAGCAUGGUCUUCCCAGUACCGCGUGGUAGGUUCCUCGGAACCCGACCACCUCGAACGUCAGGGUCUCCCUUUGGAAGUUGGAGGGUGUUCCGAAGCAGACGGGAAGGUCAAGUUGUCCGAGGGGCUGGACGCGCUUCCCGGGAAUGAUCCCAUGGAAGGGCGUAGCGCCUGCUCGGACGGAGGACAGAUCGACACGCAGGAGCCCGAGGGUCUCGGCAUAGAUGAUGUUGAGGCCGCUGCCUCCGUCCAUGAGGACCUUGGUGAGCCUGACGUCGCCGAUGACGGGGUCGACGACGAGCGGGUAUUUCCCCGGGCUCGGCACGUGGUCGGGGUGGUCGGCUUGGUCGAAGGUGAUGGGCUUGUUGGACCAGUCUAGGUAGACUGGCGCCGCCACCUUCACUGAGCAGACCUCCCGGCGCUCUUGCUUGCGGUGCCGAGCCGAGGCAUUCGCCGCUUGCCCACCGUAGAUCAUGAAGCAAUCACGGACCUCGGGGAACUCUCCUGCUUGGUGAUCUUCCUUCUUGUCGUCGUCGCGGGCCCUGCCACCCUCCGCGGGUGGCCCGGCCCUGUGGAAGUGGCGCCGAAGCAUGACGCACUCCUCAAGGGUGUGCUUGACGGGCCCCUGGUAAUAGGGGCACGGCUCCUUGAGCAUCUUGUCGAAGAGGUUGGCACCUCCGGGGGGUUUCCGAGGGUUCUUGUACUCGGCGGCGGCGACAAGGUCCGCGUCGGCGGCGCCGCGUUUCGCUUGCGACUUCUUCUUGCCUUUCUUCUUGGCGCCGCGCUGAGUCGACGCCUCGGGAGCAUCUUCCGAUGGGCGGCCCUGGGGCUGCUUGUCCUUUCGGAAGAUAGCCUCGACCGCCUCCUGGCCGGAGGCGAACUUGGUGGCGAUGUCCAUCAGCUCGCUCGCCCUGGUGGGGGUCUUGCGACCUAGCUUGCUCACCAGGUCGCGGCAGGUGGUGCCGGCGAGGAACGCGCCGAUGACAUCCGAGUCGGUGAUGUUGGGCAGCUCGGUGCGCUGCUUCGAGAAUCGCCGGAUGUAGUCCCGGAGAGACUCUCCCGGCUGCUGCCGGCAGCUUCGGAGGUCCCAGGAAUUCCCGGGGCGCAUGUACGUGCCCUGGAAAUUGCCGCUGAAAGCUUGGACUAGGUCGUCCCAGUUGGAGAUCUGCCCCGGAGGCAGGUGCUCCAACCAGGCGCGAGCGGUGUCGGAGAGGAACAGGGGGAGGUUGCGGAUGAUGAGGUUGUCAUCGUCCGUUCCACCCAGUUGGCAGGCCAGACGGUAGUCCGUGAGCCAUAGUUCCGGUCUCGUCUCCCCCGAGUACUUUGCGAUAGUAGUCGGGGGUCGGAACCGGGUCGGGAACGGUGCCCGUCGGAUGGCCCGGCUGAAGGCCUGCGGACCGGGUGGUUCGGGCGAGGGACUCCGAUCCUCCCCGCUGUCGUAGCGUCCCCCACGCCUGGGGUGGUAGCCUCAGCGCAGCCUCUCGUCGAGGUGGGCCCGACGGUCGCGGUGAUGGUGCUCGUUGCCGAGGCGGCCCGGGGCCGCAGGCGCGGUGUUGCGCGUGCGCCCGGUGUAGACCGAGGCUUCCCGCAUGAAUCGGGAAGUCGCGACAUGAGGUUCCGAGGGGUACCCCUGCCUUCGGGAGGCAGAGCUCUCAGCCCGUCGGACCGCAGCGCCUUCCAGGAGAUUCUUGAGCUCCCCCUAGAUUCGCCGGCCCUCGGUGGUUGAUGGCUCCGGCAUCGCGCGGAGAAGCAUCGCUGCUGCAGCCAGGUUCUGGCCGACCCCACUAGAUGCGGGUGGUGGCCUGACCCUGACGUCGUCGGCGACGCGGUGCUGGAAGCCCUGGGGCAGAUGACGUAUUUCUCCGGCCGGGGGUUGGCCCGCCCAUGCCUGCCCGACGUCCCGGCGGAUCGGCUCAAGCGCUCCUGCUCCCUCGUCGAGCCUGGCCUACACCCCGCAGAUUUGCUCGAGCUGUGGGUCAUGGCCCCCCGCCUGAACGGGGACCACAGCUAGCUCCCGUGGGAUGUCAACGCGGGGCACCGGCCUAGGGAGAUCACCGUCCUUCGGCAUGCCGAGAUGAUUGCCUUCGGAGGGACCCCCUAGAUCGACGUGGAAACAUUCGCGGCUUGGGCCGCAGUCCUCGUCGCCGAGGCUGCGGCUACCGUCGGAACAGUCGGAGAGGCAGUAGUCACAUGCGGUCAUGAAGUCCCGCAUGGCACUGGGGUUGCCAAGUCCAGAGAAAUCCCAGCAGAUGCUGAGCUCGUCGUCUUCCUCGGACCCAGAGGGCCCGUAGGUCGAGACGUCCGUCAGCCGGUCCCAAGGCGGCCGCAUGCGAAACCCCAGAGGGUUUGGACUCGCCUCUAUGAGAGCGCCCGCCAAAGCGGGGUCGCUAGGCGGGUUGAGGCUGAAUCCAAAUGACGCGGGAUGGGAAUCGGUCGGUACCUCUUGGUCGAUGAGCGGUGAUAAAGUCACGUCGGGGACUGACUGCACCGUCGUCUCAGGUAUGAGGGUGACGUCCAGCAAGCCUUUCGCGAGCGCGCUGGCGUCGUCCGCUUGCUCGGGAUUGGCGUGUCGCGGGGAGACGGCGCUCGUCUUCGUCUCAAGCGCGAAGUCGAUACUCGGUGCGCCCCCCGUUGGGGUGCCGGCGCUGUCGACUCGCUCGACAGCCGACGAGGCGCUGCCUCCUGCUUGGCCUUGGUUGCCCUGCCUUCCCCUCCGUCGGCGGGGAAGAGGGUGGGAUGAGAUCGAAGGUUGUUCUUCCACCACACGGGGAAGACGUCGUCGAUUCCGCCGCCGGCGGGCGGGCUGUCGGCCGCCAUUGUCGUUGUUGCGCGGCGGUGGAAGGAGUAUCAUGUCGUAGCUGCCGUCGAGGGACAUGAACUCAAGACUCCCGAAACGGAGCACCGUCCCGGAUUGGAGAGGUUGCUGGAGACUGCCCAUCUGGAGCUUGACGGGAAGUUGUUCGUCAACACGCAGCAGGCCCCUACCUGGCGCGCCAACUGUCGGCGUUUCGAGACCGGGGGGUCCCUGGGCCGACGAGUGAAUGUCGUCGCGUGCCCCAGCCCAGAUGGGUCGAGCGCGAGGGCGAGCGCGAAGGGGGGAGAGCGAGGCGGCCGGAGACCGGCGUGAGAGAGGUGGGAAUCCCGCGGCCUUCGUGUUCGUCCCGCGCCCAGGUUGGGUGCGCUUGCAGUAGGGGGUUACAAGCGUCCACGCGGGAGAGGGAGCGAGCGGCUUCAAGCGAGCGCCUAUCUCGUCCUCAUCCCCGCGCGGCCAACCCUCUCUAAGAGGGCCCUGGUCCUUCCUUUUAUAGGCGUAAGGAGAGGAUCCAGGUGUACAAUAGGGGGUGUAGCAGAGUGCUACGUGUCUAGCGGAGGAGAGCUAGCGCCCUAAGUACAUGUCGUUGUGGCAGCCGGAGAGAUUUUGGCACCCAGCUGGUGUGAUGUCGUGGCCGUCGGAGGAGCGACGGAGCCUGGCGGAGGGACAGCUGUCGGAGCGGUUGAGUCCUUGCUGACGUCCUCCUGCUUCCGUAAAGGGACUGAGAGCCGCCGUCGUCACAGAGUAUGCGGGGCACCAUCAUUGCCUAUCUGGCGGAGCGAGCCAGAUGGGACGCCGGUCUUGUUCCCUGCGGCCCGAGUCAGCUCGGGGUAGGGUGAUGAUGGCGCCUCCUGUCAACGUGGCUGGUCUGCGCCCUAGGUUGGGCGAUGUGGAAGCUCCUCCGAAGUCGAGGUUGAGUCUGUCUUCCGUGGCCGAGGUCGAGUCCGAGCCCCUGGGUCGGGCGAGGCGGUGUUCGUCGUCUUCUAGGGCUGAGCCCAAGUCCGAGCCCUGGGUCGGGCGGAGCGGAGUUCGUCGUCUUCUGGGGCUGAGCCCAAGUCCGAGCCCUGGGUCGGGCGGAGCGAAGUUUGCCGUCUUUCGGGGCUGAGCCCGAGUCCGAGCCCUGGGUCGGGCGGAGCGGAGUUCGCCGUCUUCCGGGGCUGAGCCCGAGUCCGAGCCCUGGGUCGGGCGGAGCGGAGUUCGCCGUCUUCCGGGACUUAGCCCGAGUCCGAGCCCUGGGUCGGGCGGAGCUUCCUAUGGUGCCUUCGGGAGGGCCUGACUGCCUGUCAGUCUCACUCUGUCAAGUGGCACCGCAGUCGGAGUGGCGCAGGCGGCGCUGUCCUUCUGUCAGGUUGGUCAGUGGAGCGGCGAAGUGACGGCGGUCACUUCGGCUCUGCCGGCUGGGGCGCGCGCGUCAGGAUAAAGGUGUCAGGUCACCUUUGCAUUAAAUGCUCCUGCGAUUUGGUCGGUCGGUGCGGCGAUUUAGUCAGGGUUGCUUCUUGGCGACGGCAGGGCCUCGGGCGAGCCGGAAAUAUGUUCGCCGCUGGAGGGGGGCCUCGGGCGAGACGGAAAUCCUCCGGGGUCGGCUACCCUUGUCCGAGGCUAGGCUCGGGCGAGACGUGAUCGAGUCCCUCGAAUGGACUGAUCCCUGACUUAAUCGCGCCCAUCAGACCUUUGCAGCUUUAUGCUGAUGGGGGUUACCAGCUGAGAAUUAGGAGCCUUGAGGGUACCCCUAAUUAUGGUCCCCGACAAUACAUUUAUGAUCUUAAUACUUGCUCAUAAACGUAGCCUAAAUUGAUAGGGAUUAACUAGUCUUUCCCUUUUCGGCUCAACAUUAUGCUUGAUCUUUAUCAUCGCUUUAAACCGAAGCUAUUACUCUUUGAUCAUAGCUUUGUCGCUCAUUGUUGUCGUUCUGGGGUUAUACCUUUGUCUUGAAGACCUUCGACGAAGGAAAGAACUUCCAUCAUGAAUAGAAUCUCCUGUAAUAAUCAAUAUUAUGCUAAAAAACAAAUGAUUAGUCGUAUUUUUUAGAUCUUCGGAAAAGCAAGGCCCCCAAUAUCUAUCAUCUAGAUCCUUAUUACAUACUUAGAUAUGACAAUGGACACUCGAUUCCUCAUGGAAAAAUUUCUCUAUUUUAAACUCAUACCAUUAGUUUGGCCACCUUUCUCAUUUUUACCCUUAGUUGUAUUUUUUUGUUCAAUUUUUGUAACAAUGAGGACAACAGCAAAACGAGGAAAAAUUCUCUCCCGACGGGUCAACGGGGACAGGGAUCGGGAAACAUUCUCCAUCCUUGUUCUCCAUGAAGACCUGUUAAACUUAUAUAUGACGAUGUUUUCAUGUUAUUUAAUGAUAAAAAUAAAUAAUUAUCUUAUCAAUAGGUCACAGGUUAUACAAAUAUGUUCAUUUUAAUGUACACAUAAUAAUUUUUACAUCUAAAAUAUAUAAAAUAUGUAUAAAUGACAAUGUUUUAUAUUAAUAACAAAUGAAGUACGAUCUACUAUAAUUUAAGCGGGGAUAGAGGAUCCGAAACGGAUUUAUCCCCACAGGGAUAAGAUAGAAAUAUCCCCACAAGCAUCCGUGGAAGAAAUCCCCGUAGAGAAUUUUUUUCGUCGCAGAGACGGAUUUUGAGAACUAAAACACGACGUAGAAAUAUCCGUUACCAUCCUAUACAACUACCUCUGUUUAUACAUACUACCUCCAAUCUGGAAUAUUGCCGCCUACAGUUCAUUUUUAAACUAAAAUAUUGCCGCCUAGUUAAUUUUUAAACUCUAGUUUAACUGUUAGUGUUAAAGUCAACAAUUCUGGAUCGCCAGUGUCAGCUAACAAUAAAUAAGCAGAGAACAGCAUCUCAUAUGAAUGAGAAAGUAAAUUAUCGAUGACCAAACAAAAAUGAGGAUGCAAAGGAACUUAGUACAUCAGUACUCGAACACAGAAGAUCGCCACGAGUAAUCUUAAUUUUAAACUUGUUUCAAGACAAAAUCUUAGGGCCAGAUGAAAACACGUAGCCAAGACAACUCUAUAAGUUCACGUCAUAAGCAACCUCAUGUCCAGACUCGCCUAGAUACAGAAGUAGCAAACAAACUACUCGGCAGCAGCAACCUCCUGCCCAGCCUCAUCUCCCUCGACAGGCCUCUCAAGCUUCACACCAACAUCCUCUUUGUAGUCGCCAUGAACCUGAGAAGCAACAAGUUUUAGGAUAAAAAGUAACAGGGAGAUAGUCUGGAAAAUCUAUUUGCAUGCAUGUAGCAAUUACCUCCAUGAGUUUCCCAAGAUCGAACUUGGGGGCCUUGAGUAUCUUCACCUUGCGGAUGAAGACGUUUUGAAGUGGGAAGAUGCUGGAGGUAGACUUCUCAAUCUCCUUACCAAUAACUUCUGGAAUGAACUUCGAAACAAGUUCUUUCAGGUCACAUGUAGAAGCCUGGUUGAUCAUAAUCUCAACCAUCUUACGGCGGAUCUG
This 39172-nucleotide long non-coding RNA is filed under the name Zea mays. Its description in RNAcentral is "long non-coding RNA (ZMAY_LNC005679)". The record is from RNAcentral. Lineage: Eukaryota; Viridiplantae; Streptophyta; Magnoliopsida; Poales; Poaceae.